CAGUCGCCGCGGGAAUACGGAGGGUGCAAGCGUUAAUCGGAAUUACUGGGCGUAAAGCGCACGCAGGCGGUCUGACAAGUCAGAUGUGAAAUCCCCGGGCUUAACCUGGGAACUGCAUUUGAAACUGUCAGGCUGGAGUCUUGUAGAGGGGGGUGGAAUUCCAGGUGUAGCGGUGAAAUGCGUAGAGAUCUGGAGGAAUACCGAUGGCGAAGGCAGCCAUCUGGCCUAAUACUGACGCUGAGGUACGAAAGCAUGGGGAGCAAACAGGAUUAGAUACCCCUGUAGUCCCUGUCUCUUAUAC
Molecule: ribosomal RNA, 301 nt
Filed under: uncultured bacterium
Lineage: Bacteria
Description: partial 16S ribosomal RNA
Rfam family: Bacterial small subunit ribosomal RNA
Source: RNAcentral